RNAcentral lists this ribosomal RNA (476 nucleotides) under uncultured bacterium. Its description in RNAcentral is "bacterial SSU rRNA". It matches the Rfam family "Bacterial small subunit ribosomal RNA", at positions 26 to 507 of the family's 1533-position model. The record is from RNAcentral.
GAGGAUGAACGCUGGCGGCGUGCUUUAACACAUGCAAGUCGAACGAAGAUGCCGGAGUGCUUGCUACUUUUGGCAGACUGAGUGGCGGACGGGUGAGUAACGCGUGGGUAACCUGCCUUAUACAGGGGGAUAACAGUUGGAAACGACUGCUAAUACCGCAUAAGCGCACGGUAUCGCAUGAUACAGUGUAGAAAAACUCCGGUGGUAUAAGAUGGACCCGCGUCUGAUUAGCUUGUUGGUGAGGUAACGGCCCACCAAGGCGACGAUCAGUAGCCGGCCUGAGAGGGUGAACGGCCACAUUGGGACUGAGACACGGCCCAAACUCCUACGGGAGGCAGCAGUGGGGAAUAUUGCACAAUGGGGGAAACCCUGAUGCAGCGACGCCGCGUGAGUGAUGAAGUAUUUCGGUAUGUAAAACUCUAUCAGCAGGGAAGAUAAUGACGGUACCUGACUAAGAAGCACCGGCUAAAUACGUG